This 254-nucleotide ribosomal RNA is filed under the name uncultured bacterium. RNAcentral describes it as "partial 16S ribosomal RNA". It matches the Rfam family "Bacterial small subunit ribosomal RNA", at positions 524 to 776 of the family's 1533-position model. The record is from RNAcentral.
UACGUAGGGUGCGAGCGUUGUCCGGAAUUACUGGGCGUAAAGAGCUCGUAGGUGGUUUGUCGCGUCGUCUGUGAAAUUCCGGGGCUUAACUCCGGGCGUGCAGGCGAUACGGGCAUAACUUGAGUACUGUAGGGGAGACUGGAAUUCCUGGUGUAGCGGUGAAAUGCGCAGAUAUCAGGAGGAACACCGGUGGCGAAGGCGGGUCUCUGGGCAGUAACUGACGCUGAGGAGCGAAAGCAUGGGGAGCAAACAGG